This is a non-coding RNA of Coemansia brasiliensis, 84 nucleotides long. NCBI's taxonomy places the organism in Eukaryota, Fungi, Kickxellomycota, Kickxellomycetes, Kickxellales, Kickxellaceae. The record is from the annotation of a GenBank genome assembly.
GGAAAAAUCGCCUAAUGGUAUGGCAAUAGUUUGCUAAACUGUGGAUAUUAUAUAUCUUUAAGGGUUCGAUUCCCUUUUUUUCCG